GGCAGUAGCACAUAUUCUAGUGAGAACCUUGAAGACUGAAGUGAGGAAAGGUUCCACAAUUACAGCAAUUGAACGUGGCUUAGCCGAUCCUAAGAGAUAGGGAAGUUCCGUACUAAAGUGUGCGCUUGUUCGCACCGUCCUAUCGAAAGGGAAACAGGUUAGAAUUCCUGUGCCGGGAUGUGGAUUUUUGGCGGCAACGCAAACAAACAAACUAGGUACCGUCGGCGGAAGCCCUGGGGAGAGUUCUUGGUGGCUUGCUGGGGUGCAGUAGGCUUAUACCUGUCAACUGCGGCCUUUCGACCCCACAGACAGAAGCACUAGCGCCUCUCGUCUUCGGGGCCUUUUCACGAUAAAAGUUUUCAGGGUCAAGAUCCUGGCG
Molecule: non-coding RNA, 379 nt
Filed under: Moesziomyces antarcticus T-34
Lineage: Eukaryota; Fungi; Basidiomycota; Ustilaginomycetes; Ustilaginales; Ustilaginaceae
Description: Eukaryotic large subunit ribosomal RNA
Rfam family: Eukaryotic large subunit ribosomal RNA
Source: Rfam by way of RNAcentral